Molecule: ribosomal RNA, 253 nt
Filed under: uncultured bacterium
Lineage: Bacteria
Description: partial 16S ribosomal RNA
Rfam family: Bacterial small subunit ribosomal RNA
Source: RNAcentral
UACGGAGGGUGCGAGCGUUGUCCGGAAUCACUGGGCGUAAAGGGCGCGUAGGCGGCGAGGAUAGUCAACGGUGAAAGCUUGGGGCUCAACCCCGAGUCGGCCGUCGAUACUUCCUUGCUUGAGCACUGUAGAGGCAGAUGGAAUUCCGGGUGUAGCGGUGGAAUGCGUAGAGAUCCGGAAGAACACCGGUGGCGAAGGCGGCCUGCUGGGCAGUAGCUGACGCUGAGGCGCGACAGCGUGGGGAGCAAACAGG